Molecule: ribosomal RNA, 330 nt
Filed under: Chiton olivaceus
Lineage: Eukaryota; Metazoa; Mollusca; Polyplacophora; Chitonida; Chitonidae
Description: partial 16S ribosomal RNA
Rfam family: Bacterial large subunit ribosomal RNA
Source: RNAcentral
CUUUAGGUGAAGAAGCCUAAAUUUAUUCAUAGGACGAAAAGACCCUGUCGAGCUUUAAAUUUUUAUUUUAAUUUUUUUCUUUUGUAGAAGAAUUGUUUUUAUUUAUUUUGUUUGUUGGGGUGACAGAAGAACAUUCAAAGCUUCUUCUAAUUGAAUUAAACUUUUUAGUUUGUUGAUCUUCUAAUGGNAAAAAAAAGAAUAGUUACCGCAGGGAUAACAGCGUAAUUUUUUUGGAAAGUUCAAAUUAAAAAAAAAGUUUGCGACCUCGAUGUUGGAUUAGAAUUCCUAAUAAGUGCAGAAGCUUAUUUGUGGAGGUCUGUUCGCCCUUUA